Molecule: long non-coding RNA, 476 nt
Filed under: Lupinus angustifolius (narrow-leaved blue lupine)
Lineage: Eukaryota; Viridiplantae; Streptophyta; Magnoliopsida; Fabales; Fabaceae
Description: long non-coding RNA (LANG_LNC001426)
Source: RNAcentral
UGUGGAGGGAAGAAGGGCUUCUUGCUAGGGAUAGGAAAUGAUUUAUGGAAUGGCUUCUUGAACAGUGGAAUAGGCUUAUGAAUAGGAAUUGGUUUAUAAACUGGAAUAGGCUUAUGAAUAGGAAUUGGUUUAUAAACUGGAAUAGGCUUAUGAAUAGGAAUUGGUUUAUAAACUGGAAUAGGCUUAUGAAUAGGAAUUGGUUUAUAAACUGGAAUAGGCUUAUAAAUUGGAAUUGGUUUAUACACUGGAAUAGGUUUAUAAACUGGAACAGGAAUAGGUUUUACGACUGGAUAUGGCUUUGGAAUAGGCUUAUAAAUUGGAAUAUGUUUCUUGUAAAAUGGCUUCUUGAAUAGUGGGAAUUUGUGAUGAAAAAGUCCUUUGAAUUUAGCUUCUUCAUCAUCAACUUUGGGGCUUGUCUUUGCAAUACCUUCGUUUACAAGCUUCCCAUCAGUAUUCACUUUAUCCCCAGCUGCAAA